RNAcentral lists this ribosomal RNA (487 nucleotides) under Veillonella dispar. Its description in RNAcentral is "bacterial SSU rRNA". It matches the Rfam family "Bacterial small subunit ribosomal RNA", at positions 28 to 485 of the family's 1533-position model. Lineage: Bacteria; Bacillati; Bacillota; Negativicutes; Veillonellales; Veillonellaceae. The record is from RNAcentral.
GACGAACGCGGCGGCGUGCUUAACACAUGCAAGUCGAACGAAGAGCGAUGGAAGCUUGCUUCUAUCAAUCUUAGUGGCGAACGGGUGAGUAACGCGUAAUCAACCUGCCCUUCAGAGGGGGACAACAGUUGGAAACGACUGCUAAUACCGCAUACGAUCUAAUCUCGGCAUCGAGGAAAGAUGAAAGGUGGCCUCUAUUUAUAAGCUAUCACUGAAGGAGGGGAUUGCGUCUGAUUAGCUAGUUGGAGGGGUAACGGCCCACCAAGGCGAUGAUCAGUAGCCGGUCUGAGAGGAUGAACGGCCACAUUGGGACUGAGACACGGCCCAGACUCCUACGGGAGGCAGCAGUGGGGAAUCUUCCGCAAUGGACGAAAGUCUGACGGAGCAACGCCGCGUGAGUGAUGACGGCCUUCGGGUUGUAAAGCUCUGUUAAUCGGGACGAAAGGCCUUCUUGCGAACAGUUAGAAGGAUUGACGGUACCCGAAUA